UGUGAAUGACCUUUGGAGUUUGUCAAUCCAUAUCGAAAAAGCCGCUUCAUUAUGAUGCUGAUUGGAGCUAUGAUCUGUGUCGUAAAUGAUGAACAGUUUGAGUUUGGCAACAGGGCAAGAGUCGAAGCUGUCUCAGAAGAUAUAUAUUCCUGAACACGCAUCUGGAACUCAUAAUACGAAUCUCUUAGAUCUUGAGGGAGAGCUGGUUCAACUAUAUGCUUAGAUAAGAUAACAUCCUCG
This 240-nucleotide unclassified non-coding RNA is filed under the name Hevea brasiliensis (rubber tree). The record is from RNAcentral. Lineage: Eukaryota; Viridiplantae; Streptophyta; Magnoliopsida; Malpighiales; Euphorbiaceae.